Long non-coding RNA from Pezoporus flaviventris, 2000 nucleotides. RefSeq lists it as uncharacterized. The transcript is spliced from 4 exons. Lineage: Eukaryota; Metazoa; Chordata; Aves; Psittaciformes; Psittacidae. The record is from RefSeq and is a predicted model, not a curated record.
ACGCAUCCUCCCUGAGCAGCGGCUGGAAAACUCUUGGGAGUUUCCCACUCUUCAGUGUUGAUUUCUUAAUAUGUGUAAUUCAGCGGCUAAAUCCAGCAAGGUCUGGUUUGUGAUAAAGCGUUGAAUUUACUGUUAACGUAAUGGAGUUGUCCAUGACAACUUGGAGAAAGAAACCCCAAGGCCAUGUCCUUCUCUGUGUGAGUUUGUAUUAACAUCGGUGUAUUCCCUCAUCGCCUUCCUUUUCCUCUUUCUGCAUCCUUUUGCCUAUCUAAGUCCUCCCCUCCUCUAGACUAGGUGACUCUUCCUUGCUCCUUCUGGACUUCAGGAAAGCACAGAGCCAGAUAAUUAACUGCAGGGAAUAACAGUGAUUUCAUUCCAAAGCCUUGGCCAAGCUGGCAGAGGCACUGGAAUAGCUGCAUGGGUUGGCUCUUCAGCUGCUGCAACACCCAGAAGUCACCCUUAUGUAAGCAAGGCCAGCAGAGCAGACUUCAAUCCUGGAGCGAGAUGAUGUCAAAGAUAGGAGAGGGAAGAAGUUUUGAAUACUUCUGGUGGCCUAAACGCCAGCACGGAUUAACGCUGGUUUGUAUAAACCUGGUGCUUGCAAGUUUAUUAGAAGGUGUUUGGUGCCACAGGCUGUGCUGGAGACACUUCUGUAUUCAUGCCUGGCUGGAAGGGCUCUUGCGCCUGAAGCACAGAGGAGAGGUGGAAAGCUGGGAUCUGCUGCAAGCCACCAACCCAACCCUUCUGGUUGGUAAGAUUCAGUCAAAGAGGAUAUAAAGAACCCACGCUUCCCUUGCUCAGCACUCUGGCCAUGUAAGUGGGCCAAGAUGGUUUCCCUGCUCUCCCUGGUGAGGCAUAGCUGUGGAAUCAAGGGUGGCACCAGCUGCACACCCUGCACAGUCACAUGCUGCAGGGGCCUGCAAGGCUGCCCCAUGACUCCGGAAUGAUUUAUGUGUUUUCCAUGAUCCUCCUUUUCAGAUGCAGUUGCCAAGCCUGCACAGCACUGUUCAGCUGGGAGGAGGCUAAUACACUCAGUGCAUCUGCCUCCAGACUUUACACACUGCGAGAAGCUUUCACAAAUUAAAGGACUUUUGUUGUCUGCCUGCCUUGGAAAUACUCUCCAAGAUCCAGGUUCUGGAGCUCUUUCCCAGGCUGCUGAAGCAGCAGGAUCUGCUUCUUUCACAUUCUCCUGUGGUCCUGUUGCAGUCAGACAGAAUACAAAGGAAAAUCCACUGCUUAAUUUUUGAGGGGAAGCUUCUUCACAUAUUGAAACCCAUCCCGCACAUGUCAGCCCCAACAGAUUCUGGAUGUGAACCAGGGGAACUCAGAGCCGUCCCCGUCCCCAGAUGCCUGCACACCUCCUGGGGGAGCACAACCAGCAGGGCUGGAAGUCCUGGAGAACAGAUCCCUGACCUCAUCCUGUUUUCUGGAGUCCAAGUAACCAUUUACCUUUGCAAGGGGAGAAUAACAAUGUUUACGGAAUGGUGUGGGGAUGCAAUGUGCCUGUUUGCUUGGAUUUUGGUGGAGCCUUUCCUUGUGCUCACACAAACAUGAUUGGGAAAGGCCUCAGGGAGCAGCUUUACUUACAGUCUGACCCAGAGGAGAUGUCUGUAAUUAAGCACAUAUAUACAUGUAUCAUGUAGGUUUGACUCUGAUAUGAGCAUACAUAGCCAAUACAUUAGAGGACUUUUCUAGACCAUAAGACAAUGUUUGUUUUAAAAUCCUUUAUGACACAUAUUAAUGCUGACCAUUGUAGAGCACUCUGCUGCAGAGGGAUCAAUGGCCUUCACACCACAGCUAGUUACAGCAAAUGGAUCAUACCAAAUCCAGGGCACUUAAGAGCCCAGUAUUGGUCUCUGCAAUUUGUAUAAAUCAGAAUGCCCUCUGCAUUUCCUGAAGGACAGGGCCAUGAGUACAGACAGAAACUACAAUUUAUUCUUCAAACAAUUGUUUUUUUUUCCUUAAAUAAAGUGUUUGCAAUUGAUUUUCAUCUUUCUAUA